UGCAAGUCGAACGGGAUUAUUUUUGUAGCAAUACAGAAAUAAUUCAGUGGCGAACGGGUGCGUAACACGUGGGCAAUCUGCCGAAAAGUGGGGGAUAGCUCGCCGAAAGGCGAAUUAAUACCGCAUGUGGUGAGGGACGACAUCUUCCUGAAUCCAAAGCCGGGGCAACCUGGCGCUUUUUGAGGAGCCCGCGGCCUAUCAGCUAGUUGGCGGGGUAACGGCCCACCAAGGCCAUGACGGGUAGCUGGUCUGAGAGGACGACCAGUCACACUGGAACUGAGACACGGUCCAGACACCUACGGGUGGCAGCAGUCGAGAAUUUUUCUCAAUGGGCGAAAGCCUGAAGGAGCGACGCCGCGUGGAGGAUGAAGGCUUUCGGGUUGUAAACUCCUGUCAUUUGAGAACAAGGGGCCGAACUUAACUACUUCGGCCUUGAUAGUAUCAGAAGAGGAAGGGACGGCUAACUCUGUGCCAGCAGCCGCGGUAAUACAGAGGUCCCAAGCGUUGUUCGGAUUCAUUGGGCGUAAAGGGUGCGUAGGUGGCGCCGUAAGUCGGGUGUGAAAUUUCGGAGCUUAACUCCGAAACUGCAUUCGAUACUGCGGUGCUUGAGGACUGGAGAGGAGACUGGAAUUCAUGGUGUAGCAGUGAAAUGCGUAGAGAUCAUGAGGAAGACCAGUGGCGAAGGCGGGUCUCUGGACAGUUCCUGACACUGAGGCACGAAGGCCAGGGGAGCAAACGGGAUUAGAUACCCCGGUAGUCCUGGCAGUAAACGGUGCACGUUUGGUGUGGGAGGAUUCGACCCCUUCCGCGCCGGAGCUAACGCGUUAAACGUGCCGCCUGGGGAGUACGGUCGCAAGAUUAAACUCAAAGAAAUUGACGGGGGCCCGCACAAGCGGUGGAGUAUGUGGCUUAAUUCGAUGCAACGCGAGACUUACAGCUGACAUG
RNAcentral lists this ribosomal RNA (945 nucleotides) under uncultured Xiphinematobacteriaceae bacterium. Its description in RNAcentral is "bacterial SSU rRNA". It matches the Rfam family "Bacterial small subunit ribosomal RNA", at positions 56 to 988 of the family's 1533-position model. The record is from RNAcentral. Lineage: Bacteria; Pseudomonadati; Verrucomicrobiota; Spartobacteria.